CAGUCGCCGCGGUAAUACGUAGGGUGCAAGCGUUAAUCGGAAUUACUGGGCGUAAAGCGUGCGCAGGCGGUUUGUUAAGACAGAUGUGAAAUCCCCGGGCUCAACCUGGGAACUGCAUUUGUGACUGGCAAGCUAGAGUGUGGCAGAGGGGGGUGGAAUUCCGCGUGUAGCAGUGAAAUGCGUAGAUAUGCGGAGGAACACCGAUGGCGAAGGCAGCCCCCUGGGCCAACACUGACGCUGAAGCACGAAAGCGUGGGGAGCAAACAGGAUUAGAUACCCCAGUAGUCCCUGUCUCUUAUAC
Molecule: ribosomal RNA, 301 nt
Filed under: uncultured bacterium
Lineage: Bacteria
Description: partial 16S ribosomal RNA
Rfam family: Bacterial small subunit ribosomal RNA
Source: RNAcentral